AUUUAAGCAACUACACCUAAAAUUAUCUCUUAAUCCAACAUCGAGGCCGCAAUCUUUUUUAUCGAUAAGAACUCUCCAAAAAAAUUACGCUGUUAUCCCUAAAGUAACUUAAAUUCUUAAUCAUUAAUAAAGGAUCAAAAAUUCAUUAAUUAAUGAUUUUUAAAUUAAAAGUUAAUUAAAUUUUAAUAUCACCCCAAUAAAAUAUUUAUUAUUAUUAUAAUAAAAAAAAAAUCCACCAAUUUAUAAUAAUUUAAAUAUAAAGAUUUAUAGGGUCUUCUCGUCUUUUAAAAAAAUUUUAGCUUUUUGACUAAAAAAUAAAAUUCUAAUUAAAAUUUUUAUGAAACAGUUAAUAUUUCGUCCAACCAUUCAUACCAGCCUUCAAUUAAAAGACUAAUGAUUAUGCUACCUUUGCCAGUUAAAAUCUGCGGCCAUUAAAAUUCAGUGGGCAGGNCAGACUUUUAUAAAUCAAAAAGACUGUUUUG
RNAcentral lists this ribosomal RNA (482 nucleotides) under Belvosia sp. Di68. Its description in RNAcentral is "partial 16S ribosomal RNA". The record is from RNAcentral. Lineage: Eukaryota; Metazoa; Arthropoda; Insecta; Diptera; Tachinidae.